GGGGGCGAUAGGAUUCGACGGGGAGAGUGGGGACAGAAGUAGCGAGUCGAGUUGCCUGCCAGCUCGUUAAAACGGUGGGACUUAAAGUAAACGCAGACAAUUACGCUUACGCUGCUUAAUUAAAGCAGCCGUCCAACCCGAGUUCGCCGGUGGCACGGGAUUGGGCGUCACUUAACCGGCUACCGAGGCGCCAAUUCUCGGAGGCGCGGGGGGAAUCUUCAUCGAGAUAGCCAAUGCCUGAGCCUGUCUGCCGGCGCUGCGGCGGCGAAACCUUAGUGGGCGGACUGCACUCGGAGAAGCUGCUGUUGUCACCUUUUCGGACGCGGGGUUCGAUACCCGCCGCCUCCACCA
Molecule: transfer-messenger RNA, 351 nt
Filed under: bacterium
Lineage: Bacteria
Also listed under: 1 other name
Description: JAMCQP01 sp023381695 Standard tmRNA
Rfam family: transfer-messenger RNA
About the family: Bacterial tmRNA, also known as 10Sa RNA or SsrA, is named for its dual tRNA and mRNA-like properties.
Source: RNAcentral